This is a long non-coding RNA of Biomphalaria glabrata, 594 nucleotides long. RefSeq lists it as uncharacterized. NCBI's taxonomy places the organism in Eukaryota, Metazoa, Mollusca, Gastropoda, Planorbidae. The record is from RefSeq and is a predicted model, not a curated record. The transcript has 3 exons.
CCGCGACGUCCUCCUAAAAUGAUACAAAAGGUAAACUCCAGGUAUAUUUAUUACAGGCACAUGUCUACAUAGCAAGGAAAUGACGAGUCGCUCUAGUUAGGUCAGGGGGGGAAGUCAAGAACAAGUCACAGUUUCUGAGAUCUAAACGGGACGGACGGACGGACAGACCACACAAAACUAAUAGCUUCUAUUCCCCUUUCGGGGGCCGCUAAAAAUUGAUUCUGAGACUAAAAGACGACGACAGCAUGUUCAGCGUUACUAAUAUAUGAGUUUUCAGUAAACGAUCUGGAGGAAAAAAACAACUUGUCAGGCCCUGCGGAUAACUCAUCCAACCAGACAACAAUGGGAUCCCCAAGUCAUCACAAGAACCUGCGAUUACAUCCAAAGGUUCAGAAAGAUUACAGAAUAUCGUGCAUAAGUUCAAAAAGAUUACAGAAUAUAGUGGCUGGACUCAGGACUGAACAAAGAACAAAGCUAAAAUAUAAAAGAUCAAUUUCUCCCUAAAGAGAACAGAUAAAAAAGCACUGGUCAAAGAGACAAGCUUUAGAAAAAAAAAUCCGGUUUGAUAUAUUUCACUUAACAGCAUUUAUAUAG